Molecule: long non-coding RNA, 1092 nt
Organism: Gallus gallus (chicken)
Lineage: Eukaryota; Metazoa; Chordata; Aves; Galliformes; Phasianidae
Source: Ensembl
UUAAAAAGUCAGUGCUGCUCCAAGAAAAGCAACUGAUGCUCUGCCAACAAUGUCUUAAAUUGAACUAACAAUUACUAAAAAUUAUUUUAUUCCUCUUAACCAAAGAACUGCUGCAUUAAUGGAGCUUCGGACAUGCUAACAGCACAGCAGGGCGUUGGUUUUUGUUACCUGACAUAAUGACAUCAAUGAGACCAAGCAUCAUUUCACCACUGAUGUGUUCUUCCUGAGUGAACAGAGCUACUGUGAAUAGGCUCAACCAAUCUGAAAUGAAGACUACAUGAGAGUGCUAACCAUAAUCAAGAAGAUGGGGAUGCCAGAACAAGUUCUACCUGGCAGCUGUGCUCCUUUUGAAGUGCAGUACACAUCAGCUAAGCAGAAAGAGAUUCUAAACACUGCUCUCCUGGCUCCGUUCAUCCCUUGGCAGGAAGGAAGGCAGGAGCAAACAUCUUGGACAACAGGGCUGCACAACAUGUCAGUGUGCUUGAGAUCAUUUCUGCAUUUUGCACCUAAAAGACAACACACUGCUAACAACUUUCUCAGCAGGCAACAGGAGCAGGGAGGGGAAGGAAACUGCAGCAGGCACUCCUGAGGGACUGAAGAGCAAUGACGGCUUCUAUCUGAAGAAUGCUGAGAAAAUCUAAAAAGUUAUUUUAAAGCUUCUGAAGAAUUAAUAGAACGAUGUCCGUAAACGUCCUCUCAGAAAUAUCAGAAUCCAGGGUGGGGUUUUACAGAAGUUGGAGAGGUACGAGAACUGAGGCUGAUGGCUGACUACAAUGAUUUUUUUUCCUAUAUUUCAUUGAAUCACAGAAUGGCCUGAGUUAAAAAGGAUUUCAAAGACCAUCUAGUUUCAAGCCCCCUGCUUUGGGCAUGGCCACCAACCACCAGACAGGGAGCACAUUUGCCCCUUGUUUUCACACUGGGAGUUGCAUAUUUGUAACUGAGGGAAGAACUGAGUGCAGUGUUAACAACGUUAGGUAAAUAAUGUUGCUAUUAGAUUUUUAGAACCUGUUCUUUCUUUUUUUUUUUUUUAACGUGUUAUGUAAUCACUCCUCUAAUGAGCGUUCGGCCAAUAAAGGUGAAACAAGUUGCUAA